UUUAGAUUAUAUCACUCCCAUAU
Molecule: small nuclear RNA, 23 nt
Filed under: Arabidopsis thaliana (thale cress)
Lineage: Eukaryota; Viridiplantae; Streptophyta; Magnoliopsida; Brassicales; Brassicaceae
Description: snRNA_09641
Source: RNAcentral